This 1182-nucleotide ribosomal RNA is filed under the name uncultured bacterium. RNAcentral describes it as "bacterial SSU rRNA". It matches the Rfam family "Bacterial small subunit ribosomal RNA", at positions 201 to 1391 of the family's 1533-position model. The record is from RNAcentral.
UUAAAACUGAGGUGGUAUAAGAUGGGCAUGCGUCUGAUUAGGUAGUUGGUGAGGUAACGGCUCACCAAGACUACGAUGACUAGGGGGUCUGAGAGGAUGAUCCCCCACACUGGUACUGAGACACGGACCAGACUCCUACGGGAGGCAGCAGUAGGGAAUCUUCGGCAAUGGACGCAAGUCUGACCGAGCAACGCCGCGUGCAGGAUGACGGCCCUAUGGGUUGUAAACUGCUUUUAUACACCAAGAAAAACAUCCACGUGUGGGUGCCCGACGGUAGUGUAUGAAUAAGCAUCGGCUAACUCCGUGCCAGCAGCCGCGGUAAUACGGAGGAUGCAAGCGUUAUCCGGAUUCAUUGGGUUUAAAGGGGUGCGUAGGCGGCUUUUUAAGUCAGUGGUGAAAUCCUGCCGCUUAACGGUAGAAUUGCCAUUGAUACUGAAAAGCUUGAGUACAUUUGAGGUAAGCGGAAUGUGUAGUGUAGCGGUGAAAUGCAUAGAUAUGACACAGAACGCCGAUUGCGAAGGCAGCUUACUAAGCCAUUACUGACGCUGAGGCACGAAAGCGUGGGGAUCGAACAGGAUUAGAUACCCUGGUAGUCCACGCCGUAAACGAUGAUCUGGUGUUGCGAUAUACAGCAAGCGGCUGAGCGAAAGCAUUAAGUGAUCCACCUGGGGAGUACGAUCGCAAGGUUGAAACUCAAAGGAAUUGACGGGGGCCCGCACAAGCGGAGGAACAUGUGGUUUAAUUCGAUGAUACGCGAGGAACCUUACCUGGGCUUAAAUGUAGGCUGCAUUCGGCUGAAAGGCUGAUUCCCUUCGGACGAUCUACAAGGUGCUGCAUGGUUGUCGUCAGCUCGUGCCGUGAGGUGUCGGGUUAAGUCCCAUAACGAGCGCAACCCUUAUCGUUAGUUGCCAGCGGGUCAAGCCGGGGACUCUAGCGAGACUGCCACCGUAAGGUGUGAGGAAGGUGGGGAUGACGUCAAAUCAGCACGGCCCUUAUGUCCAGGGCUACACACGUGUUACAAUGGCCGAUACAAAGGGCAGCUACCAGGUGACUGGAUGCUAAUCUCUAAAGUCGGUCUCAGUUCGGAUCGAAGUCUGCAACCCGACUUCGUGAAGCUGGAUUCGCUAGUAAUCGCAUAUCAGCCAUGGCGCGGUGAAUACGUUCCCGGGCCUUGUACACACC